Long non-coding RNA from Penaeus chinensis, 278 nucleotides. RefSeq lists it as uncharacterized. The transcript is spliced from 3 exons. Lineage: Eukaryota; Metazoa; Arthropoda; Malacostraca; Decapoda; Penaeidae. The record is from RefSeq and is a predicted model, not a curated record.
UUGUUAUGGUUAUUAAACUUCCAAUGCAAACAGUGCCUUUCACUAUAUAAAUCUUGCUGUUGUUUUAAUUCAUAUCAGAACCAGGAAGAUGGAAACCAAGGCUAUGUUGUUGCUACUCGUACUGACCUGUAUAAGCAUUGUGGAACAUAAAGGCAAUUCUUUCACGAUUUUGGUACUCGGUUGAAAAACAAGACAACGCCUGCAAGACACCAACAAACUUGUUUUUAGUGAUGACAUGUAUAAACGAAUGCAUAAUUGAUUAAAAAAUAGCGACCAAA